AUUGAACGCUGGCGGCAGGCCUAACACAUGCAAGUCGAACGAGCGGCGGACUGGUGAGUAAUGUCUGGGAAACUGCCUGAUGGAUGGGGAUAACUACUGUAACAGGUAGCUAAUACCGCAUACCAUCAGAUGUGCCCAGAUGGGAUUAGCUAGUCGGUGGGGUAACGGCUCACCUAGGCGACGAUCCCUAGCUGGUCUGAGAGGAUGACCAGCCAAACGGGAACUGAGACACGGUCCAGACUCCUACGGGAGGCAGCAGUGGGGAAUAUUGCACAAUGGGCGCAAGCCUGAUGCAGCCAUGCCGCGUGUGUGAAGAAGGCCUUCGGGUUGUAAAGCACUUUCAGCUGGGAGGCGUUACCCGCAGAAGAAGCACCGGCGAACUCCGUGCCAGCAGCCGCGGUAAUAC
Molecule: ribosomal RNA, 406 nt
Filed under: uncultured bacterium
Lineage: Bacteria
Description: partial 16S ribosomal RNA
Rfam family: Bacterial small subunit ribosomal RNA
Source: RNAcentral